UGUAGUUCUCUUUCCUGAAUGAACAGCCACGAGCAGAACGCAGCUCUUCUUCCUCACAGAGAAACUGAGAAACUUCAUCAUGUUUCUCUGCAGGAUGAAGGUGUGCACAUGCAGAUUUGUGGCUGUGAUUGAUGAAGAUGCUGCAGAAGUCGUGCUGCGGUCCUGAGAAAAGCACCUGAUCAGGAGAUGUCGAGCUUCUGUCAAUCCUCCGUCUGCUGAUCAGGAGCAGCUUCAGCAGUUGUCUUCGACAUGAAAACAACGCCUGAUCAUGAGAUGUCGAGCUUCUGUCAAUCCUCCGUCUGCU
Molecule: long non-coding RNA, 304 nt
Organism: Notothenia coriiceps (black rockcod)
Lineage: Eukaryota; Metazoa; Chordata; Actinopteri; Perciformes; Nototheniidae
Exons: 6
Source: RefSeq, a predicted model, not a curated record